RNAcentral lists this ribosomal RNA (481 nucleotides) under uncultured Desulfobulbus sp. RNAcentral's name for it is "bacterial SSU rRNA". It matches the Rfam family "Bacterial small subunit ribosomal RNA", at positions 907 to 1382 of the family's 1533-position model. Lineage: Bacteria; Pseudomonadati; Thermodesulfobacteriota; Desulfobulbia; Desulfobulbales; Desulfobulbaceae. The record is from RNAcentral.
UAGAAUUGACGGGGCCCGCACAAGCGGUGGAGUAUGUGGUUAAUUCGAUGCAACGCGAAGAACCUUACCUGGUCUUGACAUCCCGGAGACCCUUAGGAAACUAGGGGGUGCUUCCAUCUGGAAGAAUCUGGAGACAGGUGCUGCAUGGCUGUCGUCAGCUCGUGUCGUGAGAUGUUGGGUUAAGUCCCGCAACGAGCGCAACCCUUGCCUUUAGUUGCCAGCAGUUCGGCUGGGCACUCUAAAGGGACUGCCGGUGUUAAACCGGAGGAAGGUGGGGAUGACGUCAAGUCCUCAUGGCCUUUAUGACCAGGGCUACACACGUACUACAAUGGCCGAUACAAAGGGCAGCGACACUGCGAGGUGAAGCCAAUCCCGUAAAAUCGGUCUCAGUCCGGAUUGGAGUCUGCAACUCGACUCCAUGAAGUUGGAAUCGCUAGUAAUCGUGGAUCGGCAUGCCACGGUGAAUACGUUCCCGGGCCUU